AGAUUGAACGCUGGCGGCAGGCCUAACACAUGCAAGUCGAGCGGUAGAGAGGUGCUUGCACCUCUUGAGAGCGGCGGACGGGUGAGUAAAGCCUAGGAAUCUGCCUGGUAGUGAGGGAUAACGCUCGGAAACGGACGCUAAUACCUCAUACGUCCUACGGGAGAAAGCAGGGGACCUUCGGGCCUUGCGCUAUCAGAUGAGCCUAGGUCGGAUUAGCUAGGUUGGUGAGGUAAUGGCUCACCAAGGCGACGAUCCGUAACUGGUCUGAGAGGAUGAUCAGUCCACACUGGAAACUGAGACACGGUCCAGACCUCCGUACGGGACGGCGAGCGAGGUAGGGGAAUUAGUUGGACAAGUGGGACGAAAGCCUAGA
Molecule: ribosomal RNA, 373 nt
Filed under: uncultured soil bacterium
Lineage: Bacteria
Description: bacterial SSU rRNA
Rfam family: Bacterial small subunit ribosomal RNA
Source: RNAcentral